UGCUUUCAUGCUUAUUGAAAGAGCACGGAGGACUGUUCAUGGAUCUGCUGAUGAUAUAGGAUGGAUGCAACGUGCUUCACAGGUGCCUUCAGUUGAAGAUGGCACUGAAAGGGUUAUGGAAAUUCUUGAUAACAUCGGUUAUUUUGCAGGUCUUUUCAGUAAUCAUGGACCACUUUAUUUUGUUAAUACAAAAGUGAGCUUCUAUAAGAUGGGCCUAGCCUGUCACAUUGCAUAGAUUCACAGUGAGGCUUCAGAGGAGAAAAAUGCCAGAGAGAUAAAAGAGUAUAUCGAGGAAAUCUAUUGUGGUUCAAAACUUCAAAUGAACAUGUCAUGCUUCUGGGACAUAGUAAAGGAGGGAUAGAUGCAGCUGCUGCUUUAUCAUUGUGUUGCUCUGAUUUGAAAGAUAAGGUAGUUGGAUUGGUAUUAGCACAAAGUCCUUAUGGUGGUAGCACAAUAGCUUCAAAUAUUUAUGUGAAGGACAACUUGGUGAUUAUGUUAAUGCGUGCAGACUUAUGGGGAUUAUAAUCUGUUAAGUGAUUAAGGGUGAUCUACAAGCGCUGCAAAUCAGGUAUUGCGAGAGGAGCAAUGGGCUUGUCACGUGUUGUGAUGCAUAAGUCCCUGGAUCCAUUUUAGUGCACCCUAAACGAAAAUUGGACCAUGCUUGGAUGGUCUCCUCAUCAUUGAAUGACGACCCUUCUGAAGCAGAUGCUUCUCGUGUGUGCUAAAGCGGAUGCUUCUCGAGUGUGCGAAGCUCUAUCAGCGUUGCUUGUGGAAGUUGGACAAAAGAAGAGACACGAACUUGCAAUAAAAGAUGAGUGAGAGCCUCUUGCGAUUUAUGCCUUUCACUGAUUGUUAUGCUACUCCUGUACAUCAAUAGCAAAUGGCUCUUGGUGCCAUUUGAAAUUGUAAAUAUAUAGCCCCUAGUCACCAAGAAUUAGAUUUUGAUAUCAUCUAGUUAUGCUCUUUGACUAAUGAAAUCGAUAACACUGUUACAACGCUAAUGUAAAAUAAAAAAUGAAUUUUUUUACAUAUUUA
Molecule: long non-coding RNA, 1035 nt
Organism: Hevea brasiliensis (rubber tree)
Lineage: Eukaryota; Viridiplantae; Streptophyta; Magnoliopsida; Malpighiales; Euphorbiaceae
Exons: 4
Source: RefSeq, a predicted model, not a curated record